GGCCCAACUUAACAACAUACUUGUAAUUAAUGACAUGAUCAAAGGUCUGGCAAGUCAGCUAUUAUUACUAAAGGUAAUGGCAAUUUUAAUGUUCCAAUGUCCUAUAUUCUUUGUCAUUACUUCACAGGAGGGCUGGAGAGUGAUACAGACGCAUUCACAAACAGAUGAUUUUCCGGUCUUUUGCUGCAGUUUAGAAUGAUGUUUAAUUUUGCGUUUCACAUACCAAGGUUUAUCAUACAGUCAAUAGUUGUGGUGAGCAUCUGCCGGGCUGGUGAAAUCGGUAUGCUCUCUUCCUCCUGUGUCCUCGUCCUUUCCUGUCACCUAUGACCCUUUUUACAUACCCAGCAGCUAACCCCCGCCACCAAGUGUCCAAAAUAAUGUUGCAGUAUAAAUAUAAGCAAACUGAGACACCAACAACACCCAUAACAUGGCUAUUACACAACUGCCUAGAACCCUCCAAGUUCACUGACUACAAUAAGGCACAAUAAACUUAAGAUCCUCUUUUAAAAAGCCUUAAAGUGCACCUAUCAUGCUAUUUUUAGGCAAUAGCAUAGGUCUCAGAUAUAUAAAAAUAUAUAAAAAACAUGUCUAUGAAGUGUUUUGCUCAAAAUACCAAACAGAUCACCCAUUGUAGCAAUGCCUCAUAUCCCUCUAUUUCACUUCCUGUUUCAAAAGUGCUGAUUUUGGGUAUAAAAAAUUGAUUUAAAAAAAAAAAGGAGGCGGCUGAGUAGGGCUACUCGAUUAUGGCAAAAAUCAUAAUCUCGAUUAUUUGGGUUAAUAAUUGAUAAUUUACUUUGAAAACAUCCAUUUAUUGAAAAAAAAAAUUUAAUAGUAUGUUUUUAACAGUUGAACCCUGAACUGUAAGUAUAUUUCAAC
Long non-coding RNA from Notothenia coriiceps (black rockcod), 876 nucleotides. RefSeq lists it as uncharacterized. The transcript is spliced from 2 exons. NCBI's taxonomy places the organism in Eukaryota, Metazoa, Chordata, Actinopteri, Perciformes, Nototheniidae. The record is from RefSeq and is a predicted model, not a curated record.